UACGAAGGGGGCUAGCGUUGUUCGGAAUUACUGGGCGUAAAGCGCACGUAGGCGGACAUUUAAGUCAGGGGUGAAAUCCCGGGGCUCAACCCCGGAACUGCCUUUGAUACUGGGUGUCUGGAGUAUGGAAGAGGUAAGUGGAAUUCCGAGUGUAGAGGUGAAAUUCGUAGAUAUUCGGAGGAACACCAGUGGCGAAGGCGGCUUACUGGUCCAUUACUGACGCUGAGGUG
This 230-nucleotide ribosomal RNA is filed under the name uncultured microorganism. Its description in RNAcentral is "partial 16S ribosomal RNA". It matches the Rfam family "Bacterial small subunit ribosomal RNA", at positions 524 to 753 of the family's 1533-position model. The record is from RNAcentral.